RNAcentral lists this ribosomal RNA (252 nucleotides) under uncultured bacterium. RNAcentral's name for it is "partial 16S ribosomal RNA". It matches the Rfam family "Bacterial small subunit ribosomal RNA", at positions 524 to 776 of the family's 1533-position model. The record is from RNAcentral.
UACGGGGGGGCAAGCGUUGUUCGGAAUUACUGGGCGUAAAGGGCGCGUAGGCGGCCUUCUAAGUCGGACGUGAAAUCCCUCGGCUUAACCGAGGAACUGCGUCCGAGACUGAAAGGCUUGAAUCCGGGAGAGGGAUGUGGAAUUCCAGGUGUAGCGGUGAAAUGCGUAGAUAUCUGGAGGAACACCGGUGGCGAAGGCGGCAUCCUGGACCGGUAUUGACGCUGAGGCGCGAAAGCUAGGGGAGCAAACGGG